GACGAACGCUGGCGGCGUGCCUAAUACAUGCAAGUCGAACGCUUCUUUCCUCCCGAGGGCUUGCACUCAAUAGGGAAGAGGAGUGGCGGACGGGCGAGUAACCCGUUGUUAACCUACCCCUCAGAGGUGGAUCACACAUGGAAACAGCAGCUAUUACCGCAUAACAGUUUAUGCCGCGUGGCAUAAGAGUGGAAGGCGCUCUCGGGCGUCGCGGAUGGAUGGACCGUCGGUGCAUUAGCUAGUUGGUGAGGUAACGGCUCACCAAGGCGACGAUGCAUAGCCGACCUGGAGGGGGGAUAGGCCACACGGGAGCUGGGACGCGGCCCAGACUCCUACGGGAGGCAGCAGUAGGGAAUGGUCGGCAAUGGAGGAAAGUCUGACCGAGCGACGCCGCGUGAGUGAAGAAGGUUUUCGGAUCGGAAAACUCUGUUGUUAGAGAAGAACAAGGACGUUAGUAACUGAACGUCCCCUGACGGUAUCUAACCAGAAAGCCACGGCUAACUACGUG
Molecule: ribosomal RNA, 508 nt
Filed under: uncultured bacterium
Lineage: Bacteria
Description: partial 16S ribosomal RNA
Rfam family: Bacterial small subunit ribosomal RNA
Source: RNAcentral